CCGGCCGCCCCGGCGCCCCUUCCUGUCCCGGCCGCCCCGGCGCCUCCUUCGGCUCUUCCGGCUACCGACCCUCCUUCGGCUCUUCCGGCUACCGACCCUCCUUCGGCUCUUCCGGCUACCGACCCUCCUUCGGCUCUUCCGGCUACCGACCCUCCUUCGGCUCUUCCGGCUACCGACCCACCGUCGGCUCUUCCGGCUACCGACCCACCGUCGGCUCUUCCGGCUACCGACCCACCGUCGGCUCUUCCGGCUACCGACCCACCGUCGGCUCUUCCGGCUACCGACCCUCCGCCGGCCACCGACCCUCCGUCGGCUCUCCCGGCCUCUGACCCUCCGCCGGCCACCGACCCUCCGUCGGCUCUCCCGGCCUCUGACCCUCCGCCGGCCACCGACCCUCCGUCGGCUCUCCCGGCCUCUGACCCUCCGCCGGCCACCGACCCUCCGUCGGCUCUCCCGGCCUCUGACCCUCCGCCGGCCACCGACCCUCCGCCGGCUCCUGAUCUUCGGCCGGUUCUGCCUCCCCGGCCUGUCCCGACGGCUCCGCCACCCUGGUUAGUCUCGGCUGUUCCGCCCCCUCGGCGGGUUUGUGCCGAUGGGGGUACAGUGCUGCCCCGCCCCCCCUCCCUUGGGCUGGGGUUCGUCUUGGCCCGUCCGGUGGCCGGGCCUUUGGGGGGGGGUACUGUCAUGGUGCGGUGAGCAGCAGCGCCACCGUGCCAUAUUUCCACAAGUUCCCAUAUUCUCACGAACACAUCCCGGACUGUCACAUGUUUCCCAUCUUCCACAACAGGUCCCAAUCUAGCUCAUUUGUAUGUGUAUAUAUGUUUCCCCUCUGCUCCCCACAUUGUGGAUCAUUGUUGCUGUCGCUGUCAUUGUUGCUGUUUGUUAGUUAAUCGGUGAGUGUUGUUUAAUGUACUGUUUGAAUGUUUAUUGCUAAGACGCAUGUUGCGCACUUUUAUUUCAUUCAGUCAUUAGUAUUGUUUUCCGUUCGUGUUUGGUUUGUUUGUUGAUUAUUAAACCCACAAACGAGAUUACUGCCUGCGCCUGGUUCCUAACCAACACUACACCACGACAAGUGUUACACCUAAAAUGAAACUGUUUACUGUUAUAUUGCGACUAUUUCUGGAAGAUUUUUGAAUUAUGUUUUAGGAUUUGUUG
Molecule: long non-coding RNA, 1155 nt
Organism: Esox lucius (northern pike)
Lineage: Eukaryota; Metazoa; Chordata; Actinopteri; Esociformes; Esocidae
Source: Ensembl